GUGCAGCCGCCGCGUUAAUACCGGCAGCCCGAGUGAUGGCCGAUAUUAUUGGGCCUAAAGCGUCCGUAGCUGGCCGCACAAGUCCGUCGGGAAAUCCACGUGCUUAACACGUGGGCGACCGGCGGAAACUGUUCGGCUUGGGGCCGGAGGACCCGAGGGGUACGUCCGGGGUAGGAGUGAAAUCCUGUAAUCCUGGACGGACCGCCGGUGGCGAAAGCACUCUGAGAAGACGGCUUCGACAGUGAGGGACGAAAGCUCGAGUCUCAAACCGGAUUAGAUACCCGAGUAGUCC
Molecule: ribosomal RNA, 292 nt
Filed under: uncultured bacterium
Lineage: Bacteria
Description: partial 16S ribosomal RNA
Rfam family: Archaeal small subunit ribosomal RNA
Source: RNAcentral